This 253-nucleotide ribosomal RNA is filed under the name uncultured bacterium. RNAcentral's name for it is "partial 16S ribosomal RNA". It matches the Rfam family "Bacterial small subunit ribosomal RNA", at positions 524 to 776 of the family's 1533-position model. The record is from RNAcentral.
UACGUAGGGGGCAAGCGUUGUCCGGAUUUAUUGGGCGUAAAGAGCGUGUAGGCGGCUAGGUAGGUCCGUUGUGAAAACUCGAGGCUCAACCUCGAGACGUCGAUGGAAACCAUCUAGCUAGAGUCCGGAAGAGGAGAGUGGAAUUCCAGGUGUAGCGGUGAAAUGCGCAGAUAUCAGGAGGAACACCGGUGGCGAAGGCGGGUCUCUGGGCCGAUACUGACGCUGAGGAGCGAAGGCGUGGGGAGCGAACAGG